UGGUUGGUGGUGCAUGGCCGUUCUUAGUUCGUGGAGCGAUCUGUCUGGUUAAUUCCGAUAACGAACGAGACUCUUGCCUGCUAAAUAGACGGCGCCGACCCGGUCGGCGACCGUUUGCUUCUUAGAGGGACAAGCGGCUUUUAGCCGCGUGAAGCCGAGAGCAAUAACAGGUCAGUGAUGCCCUCAGAUGUUCGGGGCCGCACGCGCGCUACACUGUUUGCAUCAGCGUGUUUCUCCCGCGCCGGCUGGCGUGGGCAACCCGUUGAACCGCAAACGUGCUAGGGAUCGGAGAUUGCAAUUGUUCUCCGUGAACGAGGAAUUCCUUGUACUGGCGAGUCAUCAGCUCGCGGGGAAUCUGUCCCUGCCCUUUGUACACACCGCCCGUCGCUACUACCGAUUGAGUGGUUUAGUGAGGCUCACGGACUGCGCGCGGCACACGGCGCUUUCGGGCGUCGCGUCGCGAUGCGGAAAGUGAGACGAACUUGAUCACUUCUAGGAAGUA
RNAcentral lists this ribosomal RNA (502 nucleotides) under Rhynchozoon zealandicum. Its description in RNAcentral is "SSU rRNA". It matches the Rfam family "Eukaryotic small subunit ribosomal RNA", at positions 1271 to 1784 of the family's 1831-position model. The record is from RNAcentral. Lineage: Eukaryota; Metazoa; Bryozoa; Gymnolaemata; Cheilostomatida; Phidoloporidae.